CCUUGAGCUCACUUUGUAGCCUAGGCUGGUCUCGAACUCACAGAGAUCCUCCUGCCUCAGCCUCCUGAGUGUUGGAAU
MicroRNA precursor from Chinchilla lanigera (long-tailed chinchilla), 78 nucleotides. NCBI's taxonomy places the organism in Eukaryota, Metazoa, Chordata, Mammalia, Rodentia, Chinchillidae. The record is from Ensembl.